GACGAACGCUGGCGGCGUGCUUAACACAUGCAAGUCGAACGGAAAGGCGCUGCUUUUGUGGGUUGGUCGAGAGGCGAGGGGGUGAGGAACACGAGAGGAACCUGACCUUGACUUUGGGAUAACUUCAGGAAACUGAGGCGAAGAUAGGAUAGGAGCUCCUGCGGCAUGGGGGGGGUUGGAAAGGGUCGGCGGUUGGGGCUGGAGUUGCGGGUUAUGAGCCUGUUGGUGGGGUAGGGGCUUACAAGGGCUUCGACGGGUAGCCGGCCUGAGCGGGUGUCCGGCCACCUUGGGCCUGCGAUACGGCCCAGCCGCCUACGGGAGGCAGCAGUGGGGAAUAGUGCGCAGCGGCGGCACGCCUGGUGCGACGGCGCCCCGUGCGUGAUGACGGCCUUCGGGUUGUAAACCGCUUUCGCCUGUGUCGAGGCGGGAUUGACGGUAAUGGGUAAAGAAGCACCGGCUAACUACGUG
Molecule: ribosomal RNA, 468 nt
Filed under: uncultured bacterium
Lineage: Bacteria
Description: partial 16S ribosomal RNA
Rfam family: Bacterial small subunit ribosomal RNA
Source: RNAcentral